This 450-nucleotide ribosomal RNA is filed under the name uncultured bacterium. Its description in RNAcentral is "partial 16S ribosomal RNA". It matches the Rfam family "Bacterial small subunit ribosomal RNA", at positions 354 to 796 of the family's 1533-position model. The record is from RNAcentral.
GUGGGGAAUCUUCCGCAAUGGACGAAAGUCUGACGGAGCGACGCCGCGUGAGUGAAGAAGGCCUUCGGGUCGUAAAGCUCUGUCAUCAGGGACGAAUGGCCGGUGGAGUGGAAAGCCACCGGAUUGACGGUACCUGAGAAGGAAGCCACGGCUAACUACGUGCCAGCAGCCGCGGUAAUACGUAGGUGGCAAGCGUUGUCCGGAAUUAUUGGGCGUAAAGCGCGCGCAGGUGGGAUCUUAAGUCCAUUUUGAAAGUUCGGAGCUCAACUCCGUGAUGGGAUGGAAACUGGGAUUCUUGAGUACCGGAGAGGAAAGCGGAAUUCCCCGUGUAGCGGUGAAAUGCGUAGAUAUGGGGAGGAACACCAGUGGCGAAGGCGGCUUUCUGGACGGUGUCUGACACUGAGGCGCGAAAGCCAGGGGAGCGAACGGGAUUAGAAACCCCAGUAGUCC